UACGGAGGGGGCUAGCGUUGUUCGGAAUUACUGGGCGUAAAGCGUACGUAGGCGGCUUUUUAAGUCAGAGGUGAAAUCCCGGUGCUCAACACCGGAACUGCCUUUGAGACUGGAUCGCUUGAACGUCGGAGAGGUGAGUGGAAUUCCGAGUGUAGAGGUGAAAUUCGUAGAUAUUCGGAAGAACACCAGUGGCGAAGGCGGCUCACUGGACGACUGUUGACGCUGAGGUACGAAAGCGUGGGGAGCAAACAGG
This 253-nucleotide ribosomal RNA is filed under the name uncultured bacterium. RNAcentral's name for it is "partial 16S ribosomal RNA". It matches the Rfam family "Bacterial small subunit ribosomal RNA", at positions 524 to 776 of the family's 1533-position model. The record is from RNAcentral.